This 774-nucleotide ribosomal RNA is filed under the name uncultured Neocallimastigales. Its description in RNAcentral is "partial large subunit ribosomal RNA". It matches the Rfam family "Eukaryotic large subunit ribosomal RNA", at positions 24 to 620 of the family's 3401-position model. Lineage: Eukaryota; Fungi; Neocallimastigomycota; Neocallimastigomycetes; Neocallimastigales. The record is from RNAcentral.
GUAGUCUCGCACAGACUGCAUAUCAAUAAGCGGAGGAAAAGAAACUAACAAGGAUUCCCUCAGUAACGGCGAGUGAAGCGGGAAGAGCUCAAAUUUGAAAUCUUGAAAGGUCACCUUUCACGAAUUGUAGUUUAAAGAAGUGUUUUCUGUUACGAUCGUAAUAUAAGUUCUUUGGAAUAGGACAUCACAGAGGGUGAGAAUCCCGUCUAUGAUUGCGAUUUGUAGCUUUGUGAUACACUUUCAAAGAGUCGGGUUGUUUGGGAAUGCAGCCCAAAACGGGAGGUAAAUUUCUUCUAAGGCUAAAUAUUGGCGAGAGACCGAUAGCGAACAAGUACCGUGAGGGAAAGAUGAAAAGAACUUUGAAAAGAGAGUUAAAUAGUACGUGAAAUUGUCAAAAGGGAAGCGUUUAACACCAGUGUUGUUUUCUGAAAAUCAAUUAAAAAGAGUUAGAUUUUGUUGUGUAUUGACCUUAACAGCUUGCAUUUCAAUUUUCUUGCUUUUUUUAAUGCACUUUUCGUUUAACAAGUCAACAUCAGUUUCUUUUGUUGUAAAAAGGUCAUUGGAAGGUGGCUUUCUUUUCGGAGAAAGUGUUUAUAGCCUUUGACUCCUGCAGUCGGAGAGACUGAGGUCUGCAGCGUAGAUCCUUCGGGGUUAGAUACAUUUGUGCUAAGUUAUAGCUUUUUAUAGACAACUUGUUGACUAUGAUUAGUCUUGUAGCUUACUCGCUUAUGCUAUUUUACCUACGCUUAGGAUGUUGAAGAUGUAGCACAUCAU